UAACUUUGGAGUUGGCUCUUGUCUAUGUUCCUUGGAACAGGACGUCACAGAGGGUGAGAAUCCCGUGCGAUGAGAUGCCCAAUUCUAUGUAAAGUGCUUUCGAAGAGUCUAGUUGUUUGGGAAUGCAGCUCUAAGUGGGUGGUAAAUUCCAUCUAAAGCUAAAUAUUGGCGAGAGACCGAUAGCGAACAAGUACAGUGAUGGAAAGAUGAAAAGAACUUUGAAAAGAGAGUGAAAAAGUACGUGAAAUUGUUGAAAGGGAAGGGCUUGAGAUCAGACUUGGUAUUUUGCGAUCCUUUCCUUCUUGGUUGGGUUCCUCGCAGCUUACUGGGCCAGCAUCGGUUUGGAUGGUAGGAUAAUGACUAAGGAAUGUGGCUCUACUU
Molecule: ribosomal RNA, 381 nt
Filed under: Debaryomyces hansenii
Lineage: Eukaryota; Fungi; Ascomycota; Pichiomycetes; Serinales; Debaryomycetaceae
Description: partial large subunit ribosomal RNA
Rfam family: Eukaryotic large subunit ribosomal RNA
Source: RNAcentral